AGGAUUAUAUUUAAUUAUAAUAACUGAUCUGCAAUUAGUAGGUGCUAUUAAUCUAGCUAAUCUUA
This 65-nucleotide transfer RNA is filed under the name Callitettix coomani. Its description in RNAcentral is "tRNA-Ala". The record is from RNAcentral. Lineage: Eukaryota; Metazoa; Arthropoda; Insecta; Hemiptera; Cercopidae.